GGCAACAGCUCAAAUUUGAAAUCUGGCUCCUUUUGGGGGUCCGAGUUGUAAUUUGCAGAGGGUGCUUUGGUGUUUACCCUGGCCUAAGUUCCUUGGAACAGGACGUCACAGAGGGUGAGAACCCCGUACGUGGCCUGUGGUUUUCGCCGUGUAAAGCCCCUUCGACGAGUCGAGUUGUUUGGGAAUGCAGCUCUAAAUGGGAGGUAAAUUUCUUCUAAAGCUAAAUACUGGCCAGAGACCGAUAGCGCACAAGUAGAGUGAUCGAAAGAUGAAAAGCACUUUGGAAAGAGAGUCAAAAAGCACGUGAAAUUGUUGAAAGGGAAGCGCUUGCAGCCAGACUUGCCUACAGUUGCUCAUCCGGGACAACGCCCGGUGCACUCUUCUGCAGGCAGGCCAGCAUCAGUCCAGGCGGUCGGAUAAAGGUCUUGGGAAUGUGGCUCCUCUCGGGGAGUGUUAUAGCCCAGGGCGCAAUGCGGCCAGCUUGGACUGAGGCCCGCGCAUUCGCUAGGAUGCUGGCGUAAUGGCUGUAAGCGGCCCGUCUUGAAACACGGACCAAGGAGUCUAACAUCUAUGCGAGUGUUUGGGUGUCAAGCCCGAGCGCGCAAUGAAAGUGAACGGAGGUGGGAACCCCUAGGGGCGCACCAUCGACCGAUCCUGAUGUCUUCGGAUGGAUUUGAGUAAGAGCAUAGCUGUUGGGACCCGAAAGAUGGUGAACUAUGCCUGAAUAGGGUGAAGCCAGAGGAAACUCUGGUGGAGGCUCGCAGCGGUUCUGACGUGCAAAUCGAUCGUCAAAUUUGGGCAUAGGGGCGAAAGACUAAUCGAACUAUCUAGUAGCUGGUUCCUGCCGAAGUUUCCCUCAGGAUAGCAGUAACGUUUUCAGUUUUAUGAGGUAAAGCGAAUGAUUAGAGGCAUGGGGGUUGAAACAACCUUCACCUAUUCUCAAACUUUAAAUAUGUAAGAAGUCCUUGUUACUUAAUU
This 978-nucleotide ribosomal RNA is filed under the name Ostropella albocincta. RNAcentral's name for it is "eukaryotic LSU rRNA". It matches the Rfam family "Eukaryotic large subunit ribosomal RNA", at positions 100 to 1096 of the family's 3401-position model. The record is from RNAcentral. Lineage: Eukaryota; Fungi; Ascomycota; Dothideomycetes; Pleosporales.